Molecule: non-coding RNA, 1694 nt
Organism: Streptomyces sp. FXJ1.172
Lineage: Bacteria; Bacillati; Actinomycetota; Actinomycetes; Kitasatosporales; Streptomycetaceae
Source: Rfam
GGCCAAGUUUUUAAGGGCGCACGGUGGAUGCCUUGGCACCAGGAACCGAUGAAGGACGUGGGAGGCCGCGAUAGUCCCCGGGGAGUCGUCAACCAGGCUUUGAUCCGGGGGUUUCCGAAUGGGGAAACCCGGCAGUCGUCAUGGGCUGUCACCCGCUGCUGAACACAUAGGCAGUGUGGAGGGAACGAGGGGAAGUGAAACAUCUCAGUACCCUCAGGAAGAGAAAACAACCGUGAUUCCGGGAGUAGUGGCGAGCGAAACUGGAUGAGGCCAAACCGUAUGCGUGUGAGACCCGGCAGGGGUUGCGCAUGCGGGGUUGUGGGUUCUUUCUUCUGUCGUCUGCCGGCGGCAGGACGAGUCAGAAACCGUUGAUGUAGGCGAAGGACAUGCGAAAGGUCCGGCGUAGAGGGUAAGACCCCCGUAGUCGAAACGUCAGCGGCUCGUUUGAGAGAUACCCAAGUAGCACGGGGCCCGAGAAAUCCCGUGUGAAUCUGGCGGGACCACCCGCUAAGCCUAAAUAUUCCCUGGUGACCGAUAGCGGAUAGUACCGUGAGGGAAUGGUGAAAAGUACCCCGGGAGGGGAGUGAAAUAGUACCUGAAACCGUGUGCCUACAAGCCGUGGGAGCGUCGGAUGCAGCUUGCUGUAUCUCGUGACUGCGUGCCUUUUGAAGAAUGAGCCUGCGAGUUUGCGGUGUGUUGCGAGGUUAACCCGGGUGGGGAAGCCGUAGCGAAAGCGAGUCCGAACAGGGCGUUUUAGUAGCACGCUCAAGACCCGAAGCGGAGUGAUCUAGCCAUGGGCAGGUUGAAGCGGAGGUAAGACUUCGUGGAGGACCGAACCCACCAGGGUUGAAAACCUGGGGGAUGACCUGUGGUUAGGGGUGAAAGGCCAAUCAAACUCCGUGAUAGCUGGUUCUCCCCGAAAUGCAUUUAGGUGCAGCGUCGUGUGUUUCUUGCCGGAGGUAGAGCACUGGAUAGGCGAUGGGCCCUACCGGGUUACUGACCUUAGCCAAACUCCGAAUGCCGGUAAGUGAGAGCGCGGCAGUGAGACUGUGGGGGAUAAGCUCCAUGGUCGAGAGGGAAACAGCCCAGAGCAUCGACUAAGGCCCCUAAGCGUACGCUAAGUGGGAAAGGAUGUGGAGUCGCACAGACAACCAGGAGGUUGGCUUAGAAGCAGCCACCCUUGAAAGAGUGCGUAAUAGCUCACUGGUCUAGUGAUUCCGCGCCGACAAUGUAGCGGGGCUCAAGCGUACCGCCGAAGUCGUGUCAUUCAUAUAUAUAGCCCCAACGGGUGUAUGGAUGGGUAGGGGAGCGUCGUCUGCCGGGUGAAGCGGCACUGGAAGGUAGUCGUGGACGGUUGACGAGUGAGAAUGCAGGCAUGAGUAGCGAUUCACACGUGAGAAACGUGUGCGCCGAUUGACUAAGGGUUCCUGGGUCAAGCUGAUCUGCCCAGGGUAAGUCGGGACCUAAGGCGAGGCCGACAGGCGUAGUCGAUGGAUAACCGGUUGAUAUUCCGGUACCCGCUGUGAAGCGUCAAACAUCGAGCAUCGUGAUGCUAAGGCCGUGAAGCCGUUCCGGACCCUUCGGGGAAAGGAAAGUGGUGGAGCCGCCGGACCAAGCGGUUAGUAGGUGAGUGAUGGGGUGACGCAGGAAGGUAGUCCAUCCCGGGCGGUGGUUGUCCCGGGGUAAGGGUGUAG